RNAcentral lists this ribosomal RNA (295 nucleotides) under Shigella sonnei. RNAcentral describes it as "partial 16S ribosomal RNA". It matches the Rfam family "Bacterial small subunit ribosomal RNA", at positions 1 to 292 of the family's 1533-position model. The record is from RNAcentral. Lineage: Bacteria; Pseudomonadati; Pseudomonadota; Gammaproteobacteria; Enterobacterales; Enterobacteriaceae.
AAAUUGAAGAGUUUGAUCAUGGCUCAGAUUGAACGCUGGCGGCAGGCCUAACACAUGCAAGUCGAACGGUAACAGGAAGCAGCUUGCUGCUUCGCUGACGAGUGGCGGACGGGUGAGUAAUGUCUGGGAAACUGCCUGAUGGAGGGGGAUAACUACUGGAAACGGUAGCUAAUACCGCAUAAUGUCGCAAGACCAAAGAGGGGGACCUUCGGGCCUCUUGCCAUCGGAUGUGCCCAGAUGGGAUUAGCUAGUAGGUGGGGUAACGGCUCACCUAGGCGACGAUCCCUAGCUGGUC